Dendrobium catenatum is the source of this 107-nucleotide small nucleolar RNA. The record is from RefSeq and is a predicted model, not a curated record. NCBI's taxonomy places the organism in Eukaryota, Viridiplantae, Streptophyta, Magnoliopsida, Asparagales, Orchidaceae.
AAGGCAUGGUGGUGACACUUCUUAAGUAACCCUUUGAAGCUUUCAUAUGCUUCAUAAAUUAACUUUCCAUCUAUAUGGGUGAAUGAAGGGGUAUCAUUCCUAAGCUU